This 11040-nucleotide small RNA is filed under the name Pan troglodytes (chimpanzee). RNAcentral describes it as "retained intron". Lineage: Eukaryota; Metazoa; Chordata; Mammalia; Primates; Hominidae. The record is from RNAcentral.
GUUUAAGGUACUUUGUUGUUUUAUGCUGUGACUAUCAUAUCUUUAGAACAGAAAUAGUAAUUAUAAAUAAAAUCUAUUUUUUGUUACAUAGUAUUGCGGUUGUGAAGACACUCAAUUAUAUUGAAAUUUUUACUGAAUCUUUUCUAGGACUAAUUUCAUGUCUUACGAACCAGCAGAGAAAUUUUCCCUUAGGGUAUGCCAGAAGAGGAGCAAGUAGUUUUGAUAAUGAAAUGAGACCUUAAAGAAAUAUUUCUAGAGCAGCUAUAAUAAUUUACAUAAGAAAUGAAUUGAGAUGGCCGGAGAAGAGAAUUGUUUUUCCUCUUUGAAUAUCAGUGUUUUGGGUAAUAAUGGCAGCAUUAACCUAAGAGACCGUUCUAAUUUGCCUGUUUUUUCUUGUACAUUAUCAGGAACUAUCUUUUUAAAUCUGUCUUGUGAUCAAAAUAAUGGAAAUGUGAUUUUUAUUUUCAUGGUAGGAGAUGGAAUAAACUGAGACUGCAGGACAAAGAGAAACGUCUGAAGCUGGAGGACGAUUCUGAGGAAAGUGAUGCUGAAUUUGACGAAGGUUUUAAAGUGCCAGGUUUUCUGUUCAAAAAGCUUUUUAAGUAUGUACCAUAUGUUCUUUCCUUUCUAUUUGCUAUCAAGCCAUUAUGUACAAAUUAACAUUUUAGGAAUUACAUAGUAGUUACCUGUGGGCCCUGAAGGUACUUGCAGCAAUUUGUUGCAAAAACAGAUACUGUCAAAUGAAAUUAUAGCCACGUGCUGUUCAUUAAAAUUGGAUGAUAAUAAGUUGACUAAAAUGUGCAUUGGGUAUGUUUGUAAACUGAUGAAUCUAUAUGGACCUGUCUCAGCAGACUAAAAGCAACACAUUUAAAAGCCAUUUAUGUUGAAUAAUUUUUUUGUUCUUAGUAAUUUUAAGGUGCCAAACUCCUAAUUUCUUAAAUCAGAUUAAUAGGAAGAGUUGCAUAUUAAAAUCAAUAUUGGGAAGGAUUUUUUUUCUUCUAUGUGGAAAUAAAAAACUUUUGAGAUUUUUUUUGAGUGUCUUAUAUUGUACCUGAGGGUAUAAUAUUUUUGAGCUGACCAAAUGUGCAUCUAAAUAUUUUAUGUAGGAUGUCAUUCUAAUGUCAAAAGAGAAGAUAUGGGCAACACCUUGAUGAUUAAGUUGCUAUUUGAAGCCAGGUUUCAUGUGUAAGUGGCCAAGCAUUGGAGAUGACCGGAUGCUGCCUGAUAGAUGUGUUCAUGUUGUCUCUAAGGGCUGGCCAGUCUCCCGUGAUGAAUGUAAAUACUGAGGAACAUUUUCAGUCUCGUCACUCCUGGGAUUUACUUAACAAGAUACUUUAGGAAGGCUUCUUAGAUGCAUAUAGGAAGUUAAACCAUUACAUAGCUUCUUUCUGUCUCUUUUGUAUAAUCAAUUUGUAGUUGGGAGCAGGAUGCAAAGUUCUUUCUUCGAGAUGAUUAAGUUUGGUCUCCUUUAUAGAUUCAGCUGUCAGCCAUGCCCUAAACUUGUGGAAGAAGUCUACUUAAAAACAGCAUGCUCUUUAUAUUUUCUCUCAAAGAGCUUAUAUUAUAGUUUUAAUUUUUCUCUCCAUUGGGGUAGUGGAGAGUGAAGAGUAGUUAUUUUAUCCCACUAAACAUAAUAGAAAGCCAAACUCUCAAGAUGUGAAGUGACUUGAUGUGAUUGCUUUAACUGGACAGAGGAACAGCUGUGUAGAAGUUGAAAUCUGAAUCUGUAGUAAUAUUUACAGAGGUGGUUGCUUUGUUUAUUGCUUCUCCCAAAUGAGAAUUAACUACGGAAAGGUAAAUAAAGGCCACUUUUAUUGGCAACUCUUUUUGUUUUCUCUACAGUGAUUCUUUGUUAAGAAACAAGCCAAAUACCAUCAGUGUUGUACUAGCAAAAGGAAUACCCAAAUUAUAGAUUAAAUUGAUUUUAAAAAGACAGGAUACUUCUGUGUAUUUGUAGUAAGUGAUUUGGCAGAUAUCCUCAAGGAUCAAGUUGAGUCUGCAUUUUUGUAUAAAUGUCAGAUUUUCUAGCAAAGAUAUUUCACAAUUAAUAGUACUAAACUUUGCUUACUAAAAGUAUUUAGGAUUCAGUGUAUUAACAAAACUCUAUAGUAGUUAAUAUAAAUAAUAUUUGUUUUUUAAAAAUUAGUCUUAAUUGCACAUUCCUGGAAAGUAUUGUGUUUUUUUAAUCUGCAAAAACAGGAUUUUAAAUAUUUUAUGUCAUAAAACUUCUGUUCAUUUUCUUUUGCUGUAUGAAAAAAAUUAAUAGGAUUGAUAGAGUCUCCAUUUUUCUUUUAUGAUUGCGUUUUAGCGGGGCCAAUUUAAUUUUAAACUGUAGAUAUAUUUUUUUACUGUAUUUGCUGCAUUCUGUGGAAUUGAAUUGACAGGGUAUAGAGUUGUACACAAGGGAGUCAGAAGGUACAAUUAGCCAUUUAAGUACAUUUUCUGCAAGAUAAUGUUUAACUUUUAAAUUUCUGUUUUGACAGUUUGCCCAGUAAGUACAUUUGUCUAUCUAAUUUAGCAGUCAAAUGACAAACUUCAAUCUUUUGACCUUACUUUCAGCCACACUAGUAAAUGCAAUCUUGGGUUAGUGUGGCAAUGCCAAUGUACACCAAUUAUUUGUGGUCACAUUGUGAUGCCUCAGUCUCAAGGGAUAGCAGAAUAAAUUUUUUUAUGUUGUAUAUUCAUAAAAAUCUUUAACUGUCCCUAAAGAGUAAUUUUUAUAUGCUUUUCAAAAAUUUUGAAAACUAGAUUCUAUAAUAUGUUUUUAUUUAAACUAUGUAAUUGGUUUACACUGUUUAUUAUUAGGAAGGUAAAGCAAUAAAACCAAAGUCAGUUAGUGGCACAGCUGAAACCUGAGCUCAGGCCCUUAUAUUCCUCAUCUAGCAACACCAGCUAUGUAUACCAUCUACCAGCUGUGUGGCUAGUGCUUUUAAUCUGCAAGUGAAUUUCCUUUAAAUACCAUCUGAGGGCCUUCGUGUAUUGUGUGGAAAGAAAGAGCCACUCUUUGCUAUCUUUGUAACUAUCCCUAGUUGUUGGGGAUCCUGCUAGAGAUAUGACUUACAUGCUGCCUAGUAAGAUUUUUUUUAAUGUCAUUUUCUUAGUGCUGUUCAUCUUCUUGUAAACACACUCACAUGCUGUUUGAAAGCCGUCGAAGAUUAGAUUUGUAGAUGAGGAAACACCCAGCACAUUGUAUGCUGCCUUUCCUGGGCCACACAGAAUCUAGUUGUCUUAACCCCCUCUCAGGUUCCUUUUGGGAUCCUAUGCUGUUUACCAUUCCUUUAAUAAUUUCUCAACUGCUCCUUUCCACACUCUCCCUACUUUAGUUAAGUUGAUGAGCCCCAAGCAAAAAGAGUUGUUGGACCCAUGUAGGAUGGAGGCAGUGUGGUGUAGGAGUAAUAUACUAGAAUAAUCACUGGGAGAUUUUGUUCCCCGACUGGAGGAGCUGGUCCCAUAGUUGUUCUGUAUCUCAGCAAAAAGAGGUCAACUGACUAGAAUGUAGUGAUCUGGAAACUAAUUGCACAUCAGUUUUUUUGGAGAGCUUUUUGCAGUAUGUCUUUUUCAAAAAUUGAGAUUAUUCUAGUGUAGCCAGUUCAUGAACCAGCUUUUGUUCUAAAUGAGGGUUUCUCGACCUUGACACAAUUGACACUUAGGGCUAAAUAAUUUGUUGCUGUGGGGACUGUCCUGUGCAGUAUCAGAUAUUGAACAGCUUCUCUGGCCUCUACUAUUGCACUUCUCUGGUUGUAACAAAAAUGUCUUUAGACAUUGCCAAAUGUCCCAUAGGGAGAAGAAUUACCCCUGGCUGAGAACUAUUGGUCUAGAUCAUUUCCAGAAUCACUUUGGAAACAUACAGUUCUGGAUUUCAGCUCUGGCUUGCUCAUUUUUUUCUAGUGAUGUGACCUUUGGCAAGUUACUUAACCAUUCUGAGCUUUUGUUUCCUAAUUAUAAAGUGUGCUGAUAAUCUCCUUUGUGCAAGUUGAUUGUGAGGCUGUGUCCAAACCACCUGGCCUGGUGCCUCCUCAGCAGUUGGUUCCUUAAGUGGUAGCCGUUAUUCUCUGAUUACAUACCACAUAUUUUCGGAAUUUGUCCUUCUUCCCAAAUUAAAUGAUCUUGUAUCUGUACUACACUUCAUCGUGUUUUGAUUUUUAGUUCUUUUCUCCAAGGUGCAUAUCCAGUGUGUGUAUUAUAAUUAGCAAACUUAAUAAGCAGCAAAGUUCUCAUUUAGAGUUUUCCUUAUGUAAUAGGUAAUAAUGGAACAGCUAGAGUCAAACUUCUAGAAUUGCUUUGCAAAAUACUGGGAGAAAGUUAAUUAUGACAUAUUUACUGAGAGGAGAUUAAAUAAAACCAGUUAAAUGAGCUGAAGUCCAAAAUGAGAUUUUAGGUAGACAUACCUAUAGGUACCAGAUAGUAAAUAUUUGGACAGCAAAACAACAAAACUGUCUUCUUUUAAGGUGGGUAGCCCAUUAGCCUUGAUAUUUUCUUUGAAAGAAAAAAAUCCCUUAUCUUGCAUCAUUUUUUUAUUUAUUUAUUAGAGAUGGGGUCUCACUCUGUUGCCCAGUUUGGAAUCCGGUGGUGCAAUCAUGGUUCAUUGCAGCCUCAACCUCCAUGGCUCAAGCAAUCCUCUCAUCUUAGCCUCCCAAGUAGCUGGGACUACAGGCACGUGCCACCACUCCUGGCUAAAUUUUUUUUUUUUUUUUUUUCUUGUAGAGAUGAGGUCUUACUAUGUUGCCCAUGCUGGUCUUGAACUCCUGGGCUUAAAUGAUCCUCCUGCCUCGGCUUCCCAAAGUGCUGGGAUUUACAGGCAUGAGCCACCUCAUCUAACCUAUCAUCUUUUAAUUCAAGUGGUUUUUGCUUUAGAUUUUGUAACUUGGGAUAUAAUCUUCAUACCAUUCCCUGUUGUUAAGUGUUUCUUCCACUCUCCGAAAAUUUUUUUGUAUUUUUCCUUUUUUAACUUUAUUUUUAGGUUAUAGAUUAAACAUAUCAUUGAUAGAGAAAGAAAAAUAUCAACUUCUGUUUUUUGCAGGGGGAGGGGUUAAGGUUAAAUUAUUUCUCUUUGACCCAUAUUCCUUAUUUAAAAUCUUAAUAGCUAUGAUCUUUUCGUACCUUUGGUAAACUCCCUGAAUCAAUUUCUGCUUUGAAAUAUUAAAAAGACCUUUUGUAUUGUUGAGUCUUUAAACUGUGCUUUUUUUUGCAUCUGCUAGUAAUAUGACAGAAUCAUCUGUUAUGUCCUAAUUUUGAGACCAGACCUAUUAUUCAGACUUGUUUAUGGCCUUAAAAUUUAAUUUUUUCUAUUAAAAGAUAAUAUGAUCACCAAGUGACUUUUCAACAGUAUAAGCUAUAGGUUGUGGUGUUCUCUGUCCUGCUUUUUUGAUGCUAUUCAGAUUGAAAAACUAAACAUUAGUGCCCCUUUUUUGUAGAAAAAUUAAUGGAACUUUAUAUAUGAAAAAUAUUUGGGAUUUUUUUCCCCAGAAAGUGAGUAAAAAAUAGUAAGUUUAUGCUUGUUUAGCAAGCUAUUUCUAAUGUUGAAAAGAAAGGAAAUAGUCUCUAAUUACCCCAUCUGUCAGUUUAAUUAGAAAUGUGUUAAUGUUUUGUAAAGAAAAAUUUGUGAUUUUUAUGCCUAGGUGAUCAAAAAUGUAUGACCUUAUAAAUAUAAUACUCAUGUAAAACACACAUCCCGCAUGUUUCUCUGACUGGUACUAGAACCUAGCCAAAUGAUUAAUUCAUGAGUACUUUCUGUUAUGAUCUGUAUUAUCCACCAUUUGCCAUUUUCUCUUUUCUUGUUGGUGUUUGUUGUCGUAGGUACCAGCAGACAGGUGUUAGGUGGCUGUGGGAAUUGCACUGCCAGCAGGCAGGAGGAAUUCUGGGAGAUGAAAUGGGAUUGGGCAAGACCAUCCAGAUAAUUGCCUUCUUGGCAGGUCUGAGCUACAGCAAGAUCAGGACUCGUGGUUCAAAUUACAGGUUUGAGGGGUUGGGUCCAACUGUAAUUGUCUGUCCAACAACAGUGAUGCAUCAGUGGGUGAAGGAAUUUCACACGUGGUGGCCUCCAUUCAGAGUGGCAAUUCUACAUGAAACCGGUUCCUAUACCCACAAAAAGGUGCAGUAAAUCCUGCCUAGGAAGCGGCUGUACUGUGUUUCCUAUGAAUGGCCUUCAUGUGCCUGUGCUUCACUCCUCUCCCCGCCGCCUGACAGUGUGAUUUAUGGCUGUUGUUUUCCACCAGUCCACUGUUUGCCCUCUAGGAGGGAUUGGUCUCUUGAGCCUCCAUAAUAACAGCAGCCCUUUCACAGACAUCUUUUAAUGACAACAGCACUGCAUUCAGAGAAACUAAUUCGAGAUGUUGCUCAUUGUCAUGGAAUUUUGAUCACAUCUUACUCCUACAUUCGAUUGAUGCAGGAUGACAUUAGCAGGUAUGACUGGCACUAUGUGAUCUUGGACGAAGGACACAAAAUUCGAAAUCCAAAUGCUGCUGUCACCCUUGCUUGCAAACAGUUUCGCACCCCUCAUCGGAUCAUUCUGUCUGGCUCACCGAUGCAAAAUAACCUCCGAGAGCUGUGGUCGCUCUUUGACUUCAUCUUCCCGGGAAAGUUAGGCACGUUGCCUGUGUUUAUGGAGCAGUUCUCCGUCCCCAUCACCAUGGGGGGAUAUUCAAAUGCUUCCCCAGUACAGGUCAAAACUGCUUACAAGUGUGCAUGUGUCUUACGAGAUACCAUAAAUCCAUACCUACUGCGGAGAAUGAAGUCAGAUGUCAAGAUGAGCCUUUCUUUGCCAGAUAAAAAUGAACAGAUUUUCUCCGGACUUAUAGCCCUAAGAAAAAUUUGCAACCACCCUGAUCUCUUUUCUGGAGGUCCCAAGAAUCUCAAAGGUCUUCCUGAUGAUGAACUAGAAGAAGAUCAGUUUGGGUACUGGAAACGUUCUGGGAAAAUGAUUGUUGUUGAAUCUUUGUUGAAAAUAUGGCACAAGCAGGGUCAGCGAGUAUUGCUGUUUUCUCAGUCAAGGCAGAUGCUGGACAUACUUGAAGUAUUCCUUAGAGCCCAAAAGUAUACCUAUCUCAAGAUGGAUGGUACCACUACAAUAGCUUCAAGACAGCCACUGAUUACAAGAUACAAUGAGGACACAUCCAUAUUUGUGUUUCUUUUGACCACGCGGGUGGGCGGCUUAGGUGUCAACCUGACGGGGGCAAACAGAGUUGUCAUCUAUGACCCAGACUGGAACCCAAGCACGGACACGCAGGCCCGGGAGCGAGCAUGGAGAAUAGGCCAGAAGAAGCAAGUGACUGUGUACAGGCUCCUGACUGCGGGCACCAUUGAAGAAAAGAUCUACCACCGACAAAUCUUCAAGCAGUUUUUGACAAAUAGAGUGCUAAAAGACCCAAAACAAAGGCGGUUUUUCAAAUCCAAUGAUCUCUAUGAGCUAUUUACUCUGACUAGUCCUGAUGCAUCCCAGAGCACUGAAACAAGUGCAAUUUUUGCAGGAACUGGAUCAGAUGUUCAGACACCCAAAUGCCAUCUAAAAAGAAGGAUUCAACCAGCCUUUGGAGCAGACCAUGAUGUUCCAAAACGCAAGAAGUUCCCUGCUUCUAACAUGUCUGUAAAUGAUGCCACAUCAUCUGAAGAGAAAUCUGAGGCUAAAGGAGCUGAAGUAAAUGCAGUAACUUCUAAUCGAAGUGAUCCUUUGAAAGAUGACCCUCACAUGAGUAGUAAUGUAACUAGCAAUGAUAGGCUUGGAGAAGAGACAAAUGCAGUAUCUGGACCAGAAGAGUUGUCAGUGAUUAGUGGAAAUGGGGAAUGUUCAAAUUCUUCAGGAACAGGCAAAACUUCUAGGCCAUCUGGUGAUGAAAGCAUUGAUGAAAAGUUAGGUCUUUCUUACAAAAGAGAAGGACCCAGCCAGGCUCAAACAGAAGCUUUUUGGGAGAAUAAACAAAUGGAAAAUAAUUUUUAUAAGCACAAGUCAAAAACAAAACAUCAUAGUGUGGCAGAAGAAGAGACCCUGGAGAAACAUCUGAGACCAAAGCAAAAGCCUAAGAACUCUAAGCAUUGCAGAGACGCCAAGUUUGAAGGAACUCGAAUUCCACACCUGGUGAAGAAAAGGCGUUACCAGAAGCAAGACAGUGAAAACAAGAGUGAGGCCAAGGAACAGAGCAAUGACGAUUAUGUUUUGGAAAAGCUUUUCAAAAAAUCAGUUGGCGUGCACAGUGUCAUGAAGCACGAUGCCAUCAUGGAUGGAGCCAGCCCAGAUUAUGUACUGGUGGAGGCAGAAGCCAACCGAGUGGCCCAGGAUGCCCUGAAAGCACUGAGGCUCUCUCGUCAGCGGUGUCUGGGAGCAGUGUCUGGUGUUCCCACCUGGACUGGCCACAGGGGGAUUUCUGGUGCACCAGCAGGAAAAAAGAGUAGAUUUGGUAAGAAAAGGAAUUCUAACUUCUCUGUGCAGCAUCCUUCAUCAACAUCUCCAACAGAGAAGUGCCAGGAUGGCAUCAUGAAAAAGGAGGGAAAAGAUAAUGUCCCUGAGCAUUUUAGUGGAAGAGCAGAAGAUGCAGACUCUUCAUCCGGGGCCCUCGCUUCCUCCUCACUCUUGGCUAAAAUGAGAGCUAGAAACCACCUGAUUCUGCCAGAGCGUUUAGAAAGUGAAAGCGGGCACCUGCAGGAAGCUUCUGCCCUGCUGCCCACCACAGAACACGAUGACCUUCUGGUGGAGAUGAGAAACUUCAUCGCUUUCCAGGCCCACACUGAUGGCCAGGCCAGCACCAGGGAGAUACUGCAGGAGUUUGAAUCCAAGUUAUCUGCAUCACAGUCUUGUGUCUUCCGAGAACUAUUGAGAAAUCUGUGCACUUUCCAUAGAACUUCUGGUGGUGAAGGAAUUUGGAAACUCAAGCCAGAAUACUGCUAAACAACAUUGCUUCCUAAACUUUCAAGUCCCUUUUUCUAACGGGCAUUUCUGAUUAUUAAUUUAUUAUUAAUAAUCAUGUUUGUCAAUGGAAGUUGGCUGCACUUGAUGUUUGUUUGCAUGACGUCUACCUCAGAAUUAAAACUUUAAGGAAGAAGAAACUCUUCUCUGAAAGUUUAAAGUUUUAAUAAUGCUAGCUAAAGGAGAAAAUACUUGGAUUGAUUUUUUUUUUUUUGGCAAUCUAAUUAUAUUGUAAAAUCAGGUACCUAACAGUUACUCCUUGGAGCACAUUUGUUCCUUUACCCAAAAGAUGCUGUCAGGGAGCACAGUUAGAAGUUUGCAGAACAGAAAUCUCAAUAAUUUUUUUUAUUGGUGCUAAAAACAGGUCUUACAUUCAGUCAGACCUGUUCAAUAAGUUCAUCAAUAUCUGAUAACAGCAUUAUUUUGAUACUUAAACUUUAAACAUUUAUAUUUACCAUUUGCCACCCACAAAGGUCAGGUUUGUUAUUUGUUGUUUGAUAAUUAUAUUAAUUUUCUUGGAAAGAUCCUCUUUUCAAGGUACUGGUAAAUUGGUGAGUAUUUUUAUUAGUAAAGCAUGAAAUAGUAUGGUAAUAAAUGAUAAGACAUGUAUUUGUGGAAAGCUGUAGGGUAUUCAGUUUACCCUGGCUUUCCUUUAAGCAGAGGGCAUCUUUUUCUCUCCUACAGUCACAAAAUGUGUUAUCAUUAAAAAAAAUCAAAUUAAAGCCAAAAGUAGGUACAUAAAAACCACACACAUUCAUGCACGCAAACAUCACUGCAGCCCACAGCAGACCCAGCCGUCGUUACCAUGAAGUGACACCACUCCAGGCCUCUCUUGUCUGCAGGCUGGCAGGCUAUCUUCUCUCCAGUUGCCUUUGUCUUGCGCCUGCCUUUGCAUUCCUUGCGACGGGCUUUCCUGUUUCUGCGGUUUGGAUUCCAACCAAGGCUGUUUGUAUCUCACUACUGUUUAUGUGUUUGUGGUUCUGUGAUGGUGUUGCUUUGAUCCUCAGUUUCUUUUCUUAUUGAUGUUUUUCUUGUUUCCUUCUCAGGAUGAUUUUAUCAUCUCAUCUUUGAAGUGUUGUUUUCUGAAAUUCAUCGUAUUCCUGAAAUUUCUUCUUAGCUAUCUUAGUGCAGUUUGUUUCUUGGAUUUGUAUUCUCUGGCCUGCUCUUUUCCUCUCUCUCAUUUUUCUGUAGUAUGCCUGCCCUCCUACCCUGCUAUUUCUUUACAUCUCUCUCAUGCUUAACAUGGAUAGCUGUGUCCAGAUCUUCUGUCUGCUCAUCCAUGUGACUCAGAGAGGAGGGUUCUGGGCAGGGGGACCUUGCCGGACUGCAUGAGAGGACAUGAGUUUUGCUUUCUCUGCUCUAAUAUUUUGCUUAAGCCAAGAAUCCUUUUCUUAGUAAAUGUUCUAUAUGAUUCCCGUCAGGAUUUUCUAGUUUUUUUUGGAUUAUAGCUUGUUCAUUUCUUUUGUUUUUAGUUUGGUUUAUAUAUAAUGAGGGAAGAAGAUGAUUACAUUAUUUUUGUCACUUUGCCAUCAUUGUUUAGAAGUCAUAGAAAGAAUUUUUAAAUAGGCCAAUAAGUCUUAAACUUGAGUACUUGGCUUAGAAGAAAGUCAAAACUCCUUCCUUUUUGACUAAGUGGUUUGUUUCUGGGGAGCUCUUAAUUUCUAUUUUUAUAAUCAUUAGCCUAUAAGGAAAUUGUGUCUUCCUUGUUCUCAGGGUGAUCUGCUGACCUUGUUCACUCAUGAAGCAUUUGGGUAUCAUACUUAUAGUGUCUGAAACAUAAACUGUAUUGAGCUAGACAAGGUAUAGCCUUCUCUUCAAGUAGCAAAUACUAUCAAAAGCUAUAAUGCAGUAGGAGCAAGGUGGUCCUUGUUCCAGUUUUUGUCUCAGUUCUGCUGCUGAUGUACCAUGAUCUUGGGAAGGUGGUGUCUCAGUGUGGAGAUAUGACACAUUGUUACCGUGCCUCCUGGCUGGAGGGACUUGGAGAACAAUGCAGUUAAGUAGAGUGGUUUUAACAAUACAGAGAAAUUUAUUCAUUUAGAUAAAAAUCUGAUUUUUAGAACUUUAAAAGCUUUGUACAGUGUAAAUAGAUUUAAUGUAUUUAACAUGCUUUAUCAGCACAAAUAAAGGAUUUUAAAAUUUUGUCA